AACGCGAAGAACCUUACAUCUCCGGAAUCCUGCAGAGAAGGGGGAGUUCCCUUGGGAAUAGGAACACAGGUGGUGCAUGGCUGUCGUCAGCUUGUGUUGUGAGAUGUUGGGUUAAAUCCCCCAACGAGCGCAACCCUUGUUCUUUGUUGCCAGCAAUUAAUGGGGGGAACUCUUAGGAGACUGCCGGUGACAAACCGGAGGAAGGGGGGGAUGACUUCAAGUCAUCAUGGCCCUUUAGGCCGGGGCUACACACGUACUAAAAUGGGGGGUACAAAGGGGUGCAAAACCGCGAGGGGGAGCCAAUCCCAAAAACCCGAUCUCAGUCCGGAUUGGAGUCUGCAACUCGACUCCAUGAAGUCGGAAUCGCUAGUAAUCCCAAAUCAGGGUCUUGUACACACCG
RNAcentral lists this ribosomal RNA (400 nucleotides) under uncultured bacterium. Its description in RNAcentral is "partial 16S ribosomal RNA". It matches the Rfam family "Bacterial small subunit ribosomal RNA", at positions 958 to 1392 of the family's 1533-position model. The record is from RNAcentral.